This is a non-coding RNA of Jatropha curcas, 814 nucleotides long. The record is from RefSeq and is a predicted model, not a curated record. Lineage: Eukaryota; Viridiplantae; Streptophyta; Magnoliopsida; Malpighiales; Euphorbiaceae.
GCUCCUCUCUAUGUAAACGCCAAGGAAUGGCAAACUAGACAUAGACAGUUAGGUUUAUACCUGCAAUUCAAACAUAAACUCCGGGGGAAACUAAACCUGACAAGUUUCAAUCCAACAAAAUAAAUGUAUGUUAGAGUGUCAAUUCAGAUUUUUAAUGGAAGAGAUGAGGAAUGCUUAUGCUUCUCCACCUUCAUCUCCACCAACACCACCAUCACCCCUCCCCAUCAGUGUAGGUCCUGGAAACCAAAAGUACUCCUUCUCUCCCUCUCCAUCUCCAUCUCCGCCUUUUUCGCCACCUCCUUCCAGCCACGCGUCGGCUGAAAACCUUCCACUUUUGUCUGAAAAGUUAGGUAGUCCUACUGCAAAAGUUCCUUCAGCAUUUUCAUUGGACCGCCCACGUCCUAUUGAAUUGGAUUCUAAGAGUUCAUGCCUUCAAGACUUGGUGGAAUGGUUUAUACAAAAAUGCUGCAAUUGCUGUUGCAAUUCUCCCUGAGGGCUUGAAGGACGUGCUUUCCUUUCCUGUCUUUUACUGUUCCUAAAAUUCAGGCACUCAUUUCUACUAACAAAUUUGCUUACUCCUUUUCACUCUUGAAAUGCCAUUUCACAAUAAAUCACAAUGCAGCACAAACCAUUGUAAAGUAUUUUCUAGCACAGCAUUUUUUGCGGUUUUCAUCCCUUGCACCAACUGUAUCGGUUUUUCCGCCAGAUUUACUGAAUACAAACGAUGGGAAGAAAAAAAAGUGAUGUAUGCAUUUUGUUUAUUCUUCCACUGUAACUUUGAGAGUUCAUAAUAUCAUUUUCAAUGUUUUUUUUU